RNAcentral lists this ribosomal RNA (253 nucleotides) under uncultured bacterium. RNAcentral describes it as "partial 16S ribosomal RNA". It matches the Rfam family "Bacterial small subunit ribosomal RNA", at positions 524 to 776 of the family's 1533-position model. The record is from RNAcentral.
UACGUAGGGUGCAAGCGUUGUCCGGAAUUAUUGGGCGUAAAGAGCUCGUAGGCGGUUUGUUGCGUCGGCUGUGAAAUCCCGAGGCUCAACCUCGGGUCUGCAGUCGAUACGAGCAAACUAGAGUGUUGCAGGGGAGACUGGAAUUCCUGGUGUAGCGGUGAAAUGCGCAGAUAUCAGGAGGAACACCGGUGGCGAAGGCGGCUUCCUGGUCCAGCACCGACGUUCAGGCACGAAAGCGUGGGGAGCAAACAGG